UAAUUUGACUCAACGCGGGGAAUCUUACCGGGUCCGGACACACUGAGGAUUGACAGACAGUUGUCUUUCCCUCCCUUCGGGGUGGGAUUACAAAAGAUAACAGAUCUUUCAUGAUCAUGUGAUGGGUGGUGCAUGGCCGUUCUUAGUUCGUGGAGUGAUCUGUCUGCUUAAUUGCGUUUCAAAUUUUAUAUUUGUUAACAUGCGAGUCUUCAAUGACGGCCACUCCACCUUAUAGACAUUAUAUGAUAUGCACAUUUGUGUAUUUGAUUAUAACUUGUCUGGAGUCUGGCUCGAUUUUUUUGACUCAAUUGAACGCAACGGACGUGAUUGCAAGUCCUUGUUGAACAAAUUAUAUAUAUACUACUUCAUCAUUAGUAUAUAUAGUUCGCUUCUCAUGUCGUAGCAGUCAAACGGGCGGGCGUCUUAAUUGGCGCGGUCACGAGGCUUAAUAUGCUGCGGCUGGGGAAAACUUGGGCGACCGCUGUAAUACUUCUCUCUUAAACCAGAGGAAGAUUGCGGCAAUAACAGG
RNAcentral lists this ribosomal RNA (529 nucleotides) under Globigerinella siphonifera. Its description in RNAcentral is "bacterial SSU rRNA". It matches the Rfam family "Eukaryotic small subunit ribosomal RNA", at positions 1191 to 1460 of the family's 1831-position model. Lineage: Eukaryota; Foraminifera; Rotaliida; Globigerinidae. The record is from RNAcentral.